RNAcentral lists this ribosomal RNA (626 nucleotides) under uncultured fungus. Its description in RNAcentral is "eukaryotic LSU rRNA". The stretch from base 205 to 358 matches the Rfam family "5.8S ribosomal RNA". Lineage: Eukaryota; Fungi. The record is from RNAcentral.
GUCGUAACAAGGUUUCCGUAGGUGAACCUGCGGAAGGAUCAUUAGUGAAUCUAGGACGUCCAACUUAACUUGGAGUCCGAACUCUCACUUUCUAACCCUGUGCAUCUGUUUUAAAAUUGGCUAGUAGCUCUUCGGAGCGAACCACCAUUUUUCACUUAUACAAACACAAAGUCUAUGAAUGUAAACAAAUUUAUAACAAAACAAAACUUUCAACAACGGAUCUCUUGGCUCUCGCAUCGAUGAAGAACGCAGCGAAAUGCGAUACGUAAUGUGAAUUGCAGAAUUCAGUGAAUCAUCGAAUCUUUGAACGCACCUUGCGCUCCUUGGUAUUCCGAGGAGCAUGCCUGUUUGAGUGUCAUGAAAUCUUCAACCCACCUCUUUCUUAGUGAAUCUGGUGGUGCCUGGUUUCUGAGCGCUGCUCUGCUUCGGCUUAGCUCGUUCGUAAUGCAUUAGCAUCCGCAACCGAAACUUCGGAUUGACUUGGCGUAAUAGACUAUUCGCUGAGGAUUCCAGACUUGUUCUGGAGCCGAGUUGGGUUAAAGGAAGCUUCUAAUCCUAAAGUCUAUUUUUUGAUUAGAUCUCAAAUCAGGUAGGACUACCCGCUGAACUUAAGCAUAUCAAUGUCG